UUUCAGCUACACAUGAAGCGCAAGUGCACGUCGAAUAUUCUAUUGAGCCUGUUACAUGUACAGCGAUUAACUCCGAGUCCAUCACCGAUUCAAAAGUGUCUGGUAGGAAAACUUACAUACGGGAACCGCUUACGUUAAAGUUACUUGUUUCUUUAAUAUUAAACUUUGUUUUUAUUGUUCUAAUUACAUGGAUUAUCUUCAAUGGCCGUGAUGCAAAGUUUAAACAUAACAAUGUUUGUAAGACUAGCAGAUGUGUUUCCUGUCAUGUAACCACAGUUUUUGUUGGAAAGAAUAUCUUCUCUACGAAUUUUGGACUUUCCUUGAAUUUGCUAAUUAGGGAGAUGUUAACAGCUGAAAAGAUCUCUCAGAGGAAGAAAUAUCCCUUGGGAGAAAUUUUGUCUUAUGUCUACACCUUACCUCUUAACGCAGAUGUUCUGCCAUUUAGGAAUGUGGCCCCUCGGCGAUUUUAUAAAUUGGAUGAAUCAAGUAUAAAAGGUAAUACAACAAUAUCUGUUAAAAAAUCGGGAAGGUUCAGGAUAUUUGCUGGCGUGAUCGUAUGGACUGGAGGAGACCUAUGUCCCACACCCACCAAAAACUUUGCCCAGGUCACGUCUAUGGAUCCAAAACUAAGACGGAGAGUGUUAUUGCAGAAAAGAUGGACUUGCUCACCAAGCGAAUCAAUACGGUCGAUCCAUCUGGGAGAAAUCAUUAGUUUAUCUAAAGGCAGCAUUAUUUUUGUAGAACUCUUGAAUAUAGCUCAUAUCUAUGUGUCAUUUCCUGGUAACAAUUUAGGAAUAAUACCGAUUUCUUAUUCUUAAAAUUUAUCUUUUAUCUUGAAAUGAAAUUAUAUCAGCAAUCUAAGCAUUCGUUCAUAAAUCACACAUAAAAAAAAAAUGCAAUUUCCAGUUUUUGUACCGUCUUCCGUGCAAUCGCAUCAUCUCGGGUCUUUCCGUCGGAGGUCGGAAAAACAACCUCGUAUGUAUUAACAUCACCGGAUGUUAAAAAUUUAUAGAUUUCCUGUUUAUUCAAAUAUAGGAUAGA
This is a long non-coding RNA of Saccostrea cuccullata (small rock oyster), 1041 nucleotides long. RefSeq lists it as uncharacterized. NCBI's taxonomy places the organism in Eukaryota, Metazoa, Mollusca, Bivalvia, Ostreida, Ostreidae. The record is from RefSeq and is a predicted model, not a curated record. The transcript is spliced from 3 exons.